This 499-nucleotide ribosomal RNA is filed under the name uncultured bacterium. RNAcentral describes it as "bacterial SSU rRNA". It matches the Rfam family "Bacterial small subunit ribosomal RNA", at positions 899 to 1397 of the family's 1533-position model. The record is from RNAcentral.
ACUCAAAUGAAUAGACGGGGACCCGCACAAGCAGCGGAGCAUGUGGUUUAAUUCGAAGAUACGCGAAAAACCUUACCAAGACUUGACAUGUCCUGCAUAGCCCCGAAAAGGGUGAAAGUAUAGCAAUAUAUCAGGAACACAGAUGGUGCAUGGUUGUCGUCAGCUCGUGUCGUGAGAUGUUCGGUUAAGUCCGUCAACGAGCGCAACCCUUGUGAUUGGUUGCCAGCAUUAAGUUGGGCACUCUAAUCAGACUGCCGUGGUAACACGGAGGAAGGUGGGGACGAGGUCAAAUCAUCAUGCCUCUUACGUCUUGGGCUACACACGUGCUACAAUGGUGACUACAAACAGUUGCAAUAUGGUAACAUGGAGCCAAUCUGAAAAAAGUCAUCUCAAUUCGGAUUGUGGGCUGCAACUCGCCCACAUGAAGUCGGAGUUGCUAGUAAUCGUGGAUCAGCAUGCCACGGUGAAUGCGUUCCCGGGUCUUGUACACACCGCCCGU